CGGAUGUGAAAUCCCCGGGCUCAACCUGGGAACUGCAUUCGAAACUGGCAGGCUUGAGUCUUGUAGAGGGGGGUAGAAUUCCAGGUGUAGCGGUGAAAUGCGUAGAGAUCUGGAGGAAUACCGGUGGCGAAGGCGGCCCCCUGGACAAAGACUGACGCUCAGGUGCGAAAGCGUGGGGAGCAAACAGGAUUAGAUACCCUGGUAGUCCACGCCGUAAACGAUGUCUACUUGGAGGUUGUGCCCUUGAGGCGUGGCUUCCGGAGCUAACGCGUUAAGUAGACCGCCUGGGGAGUACGGCCGCAAGGUUAAAACUCAAAUGAAUUGACGGGGGCCCGCACAAGCGGUGGAGCAUGUGGUUUAAUUCGAUGCAACGCGAAGAACCUUACCUGGUCUUGACAUCCACAGAACUUUCCAGAGAUGGAUUGGUGCCUUCGGGAACUGUGAGACAGGUGCUGCAUGGCUGUCGUCAGCUCGUGUUGUGAAAUGUUGGGUUAAGUCCCGCAACGAGCGCAAC
This 514-nucleotide ribosomal RNA is filed under the name Salmonella enterica. RNAcentral's name for it is "bacterial SSU rRNA". It matches the Rfam family "Bacterial small subunit ribosomal RNA", at positions 589 to 1102 of the family's 1533-position model. The record is from RNAcentral. Lineage: Bacteria; Pseudomonadati; Pseudomonadota; Gammaproteobacteria; Enterobacterales; Enterobacteriaceae.